GUGGGCCUACGGGAGGCAGCAGUAGGGAAUUUUCGUCAAUGGGCGCAAGCCUGAACGAGCAAUGCCGCGUGAAUGAGGAAGGUCUUCGGAUCGUAAAGUUCUGUUGAAGGGGAAAAAGAGCGGAGAGAGGAAAUGGUCUCCGAUUGAUAUUACCCUUCGAGGAAGUCACGGCUAACUACGUGCCAGCAGCCGCGGUAAUACGUAGGGGGCAAGCGUUAUCCGGAUUUACUGGGUGUAAAGGGAGCGUAGACGGCAGCGCAAGUCUGGAGUGAAAUCCCAUGGCUUAACCAUGGAACUGCUUUGGA
RNAcentral lists this ribosomal RNA (305 nucleotides) under uncultured bacterium. RNAcentral's name for it is "bacterial SSU rRNA". It matches the Rfam family "Bacterial small subunit ribosomal RNA", at positions 333 to 630 of the family's 1533-position model. The record is from RNAcentral.